This is a non-coding RNA of Parelaphostrongylus tenuis, 73 nucleotides long. Lineage: Eukaryota; Metazoa; Nematoda; Chromadorea; Rhabditida; Metastrongylidae. The record is from the annotation of a GenBank genome assembly.
UCCUCGGUAGUAUAGUGGUUAGUAUCCGCGCCUGUCACGUGCGAGUCCCCGGGUUCAAUUCCCGGCGGGGGAG